Molecule: unclassified non-coding RNA, 240 nt
Filed under: soil metagenome
Description: partial contains 5.8S ribosomal RNA, internal transcribed spacer 2, and large subunit ribosomal RNA
Source: RNAcentral
AACCAUUCUCACCUGCGGCUAGACCUGCGGAAGGAUCAUUACACAAUAACAUAUGAAGGCUGUACGCGGCUGCGCCCUCGGGCCAGUUGGCUGAGGCUGGAGUAUUUAUUACCCUUGUCUUUUGCGCACUUGUUGUUUCCUGGGCGGGUUCGCCCGCCACCAGGACCACAUGAUAAACCUUUUUUUAUGCAGUUGCAAUCAGCGUCAGUACAACAAAUGUAAAUCAUUUACAACUUUUAG